GAAAUGCGAUAAGUAAUGUGAAUUGCAGAAUUCAGUGAAUCAUCGAAUCUUUGAACGCACCUUGCGCCCUUUGGCUAUUCCGAAGGGCAUGCCUGUUUGAGUAUCAUGAACACCUCAACUCUCAUGGCCUUGCCAUGAUGAGCUUGGACUUUGGGGGUCUUGCUGGCCUGUGGUCAGCUCCUCUCAAAUGAAUCAGCUUGCCAGUGUUUGGUGGCAUCACAGGUGUGAUAACUAUCUACGCUUGUGGUUUUCCACCAGGUAACCUUCGGUGACGAAGGUUCACUGGGGCUCAUAAAUGUCUCUCCUCAGCGAGGACAGCUCUUUAAACGUUUGAUCUCAAAUCAGGUAGGACUACCCGCUGAACUUAA
Molecule: unclassified non-coding RNA, 368 nt
Filed under: uncultured Thelephoraceae
Lineage: Eukaryota; Fungi; Basidiomycota; Agaricomycetes; Thelephorales; Thelephoraceae
Description: sequence contains ITS1
Rfam family: 5.8S ribosomal RNA (bases 1-106)
Source: RNAcentral